This is a long non-coding RNA of Musa acuminata AAA Group (dessert banana), 4005 nucleotides long. RefSeq lists it as uncharacterized. The transcript has 3 exons. The record is from RefSeq and is a predicted model, not a curated record. NCBI's taxonomy places the organism in Eukaryota, Viridiplantae, Streptophyta, Magnoliopsida, Zingiberales, Musaceae.
CGGAGCUCCGCAACACCCUAACGGUGGCGACGGUCGCAAGGAACGGUGACGUCAUAUGGAUCCGCUCCCUCCCUUCUUCUCCGUCCAUCUCUGCGGAGCCUGUGAUCGGCUCCGUCGGUUAGUUUCCCUUGUCCCCGGUCGAUCGUCAUUGCCGUCACAUUCGUCCAAGCCUGGGCUUGAUGAUGUGGGCGAACACAUAGUUAAGCAGAACAUGGAUUUCCUUUGAAAGCAACUACUAGCUUGAAAAAAUUUAAUGUCGUUAUUUUUCUGAAUUUUCAUGCUAACUCGAUUGAAAUUAGAUAAUGCCAGACAACCAUGAUGGAAUUCAUUCUGUUGAGACCUAUAAGUUAGAUGGAAUUGCGAAAAUAUUCGUGUAUUAUAUUCAUAGAUAUCUUUUUCUUUUCCUGUUGUAACUUUGUCGCAUAUUUAUUUUUAUUAUGUUAAUUCUAGUAUGAAUCAUUAAAAAUAUUUGCUGUUUGUGGACUAUGGAAGUGAUUCUGGCUCUGGCUCUACUGUGUCUGUUUGCCAAACAAAUCUUAAGCCCUUUGUGACGUUUAAUCAUACUUCUUUAGUAGAAGGACAGGAGUGAUUCCUUUAUCGACCUUAUAAAGUACACCAAGGCUUGUCUAGGUUAUUUAGUUAAAAGAUCACUAGCAAUUUUGAUGUUGAAUUUAGCCAAUGGUUUGUGUUCUUGCUUCGAGUUAGCUUAUAAGAUCAUGUUGUUAAAUAAAAAAAUUCCCAACAUCAGCAAUAUUUGAUGUCAUUGGAUCGUGUUAGACUGUUGGGUAGUGUUUAUGUCAGAUUAAGAUGCAUUUAUUAGACCAAAACUUCCACCCAAACUGCUAAACUUGAACCUAACCCACCUAAUACAUGUGUAACCUAACCUAACCUUUGGGCUUAGAUCAAAUUAUAUUAUAGAUGAUAGAUUUAAACCAAUUUAAAUAAAAACCCUUCACUGACAAUUUAAUCAAUCCAGUAGUAGAAUUUGACCUAUUUAUAACCAAUAAGCAUGAUAUGAUCGACACUCAUUUGAAAAUGAUACAUUGAUGUGCUUAAUCCGAUUAUUACUGAUUCAAGUGGGUUAGUCAUGACAGUUUCCUAAAUUCAUUCAAUAAGAGUCUCUCUGCUUGGGACAUGCACAAAAUGCUAAUAGUUUUGAUUUUGAAGUUAGUUAUCAUGACCAACUUGUGAUCUGCACUCAGCCAUUAGAUCUGCCACAUUGUGGUUGUUAAUUCAGUAACUUAGGUUUGUCAACUUGUUGUAAAUUGAUCAAGUCAUAAUAAAAUUUAUCUUUUCCUUUCUAUUUUCUUUUUCUGUAUUCAGCUGAUGUUAUGCGGAUAAUUUUUAAUCAUCUCCACCUGACAUCAUCGGAGAAUGAGGCUUCUAACUCUAAGAAUUUUGCGUAUAUAGGGCCAUAUAUUAAAGCUCAUAAUUGCAUUUUUGUUUGAUAACUGGAGAGAAGCAUAUAAGUUUCUACUGCUCUCAAAAAAAAUUCCAAACAAACUUUGGUCAUAUUCGAUAUAGACUUGGUUGUGUUUGCCAUCUCUCUGUUGGAUGUUAGGCCUGAAAAGUUGAUGAUCUAUCCAACUGUAGCUGUUAAGAUGUACUGGUAUACUUGGUACAUAAAGUAAGAUAUGCUUGCUGUCACCCUGUUAGGUGUCGGGCCUGAAAAGGUGAUGGUCUAAUCCAACUGUGUCCUUUAACAAGUACUGGUAUAUUUAGUACCCUGAAUUUUUCCUUCAGUUGCUUCCCUGUUAAUCAACACAUUGACUGGUUACCAUUCUUGUUGGAAGGAAUGAUACAUCAUCCUAAAUUUGUAUAAUGUUUGUACAUAUGGGGCCUUCAUUUUUAAGUUUCAAGUUCCUUUUGUCUUGUUCUAUGUGUUAUUUGAAGAACAAAAACUUUCAACUCAGGGCAGAAAAGGGUAGUGAAUGAGAUUCUUGGCAGUAAAAUUGUCCAAUUGUUUUAUAGAGAUUAAACAAGUUCUUCCAUGUGCAACUAUGUAUAGCAUCAUCCAGUUACGGGCCAAUCUAUUUCGUAACAAGGGACUAUUUUUUCGUUUUCCAUCUGAUGGUCAUAAUUACUCAAGGAAACAGUAGGUAAUGCUUUAGAUAAUGGUGGAACACUUUUGGAAUAAUUUUUCUAAUGGAUUUCAGCCAUCUCUUCUUCGUUUUUGAUAUGUAUAUGUAUAUAUAUUUAUUUACAUAUUCUUUUUCUUGUGAUUUACAUUAGCCAUGAAUUUUUACCAGUGUAUGUUAUGACAUAUGCCUCGUGGUUGUAAUCAUCCUUUUUCUGUUAUUGUUAUUUUAUGCACAUAUGUUUACUUGCCCAACCUCAGUAGCUUUUAGGUUGGGUUGUCGGUGCAAUGACUUUCAAGGCAUCAGCAUAUCUGGUAUAGAUGGCAUAUUUAUCACAGAUCACUUUCUGCUUACACUUCAGCUAGGCCUCUACCUAUUGCAGCUCAGAGGUAUAACAACCUUGCUUGCAACCCAAUGCUCUUAGCCGUGUGCUAGGCAGUUUGUUAGACCCCUUGGUGCUUCUCCUUUGGUUUCUGAUGAUCGUGAUGGUUACGCAAAUGAAGAAGAAUGCUGCGAUCUCCAAUAAUGACUCUUCAGCUUCAUGGUCUCUCAAACAGGUGGUUCAUUUAAUCUGAUAGUGAAAGCUCAUCCAAUUACACAUGCUCUUAUGAGGCACCAUUAAAAUACAAGGAGGGCUUAUUUGAUAAUUCAUUUUCUUAGUUGUGUUCCCUUGCUUGCUGUCCCUGAUUUAAUGAUAAUGGCAGAUUAUUGAUUAACAAGAGAAAAUAUGUGCCAAUCGGAAUACGGUGUAUUUGAUUUUCUGGAGGAAUUUAUCAUAAACUGGCGUCUUGCUUAAUACAGCUAAAGUUGACAGUCAAAUGAAUAGUGUUUGUCAGUCCAUCAUCGCACAAUUUCUCAAGGUUCUCAGUUUGGUGAUAGCCCACGUGUGAUUCAUUGGAUGUGUGAAUUCAGUCUUCAGAUGUAUUCCUUUUUCAUUCCUCAUGUCUUUACAUUGUCAUUCCAGGACCACUCUGCAACAUGGAACCUGUUGGAUCUAAGACAUGACGUUGGUUGGUGGCUAUCAUGAAGCAACCGGCUGGUUGCAUAAUCAAAGCCUCUUACUUUCUAGGUCUUCGGUGCAUUCAAUUAGCAAUAUGGAACAAGAAGGGUCUACAUAUGAAUGGAUAACAUAUUGUGCUCCAUGUCAAUAAUUUCCACCUUUUUUGUUUCAAAACAAAGAACAAAGAAUUACAUAUGGUGGACCUCAGGAACUUGUUGCCUAGACUUGGCCUGUGGGUUGUGUUCAAACGUGUACAGAAUGCUUUGAGUUAAAAAAAUGCUUCGAGUUAAAAGAAUAUGAAUGUUAAUAUCAUUCAUGCCUUUAAUUGUGGGCAGAUUUCCUGUGGGAUUUUUAUCUUUUUCCCCUCUAAUCCAAAUGUCCAACUUCCAGUUUUGGCUGAAGCUCUGUAGUGAUCAAUGUAGACGUCAGGUUUUUAAGCACUACAAGAAGGUUUUAUUCUUCCCCAAGUACCAGAAUAAACAAGCAAGCAGGCAGCAAUAUGAUGUUUUAGCUGUUUCUUUACCUUGCUUUUCCAAGACUAAUUGAGACUUCAUUUAAAUUAUAUUAUGCAGGAAGUCAGCUCGUUCCACUCUCAGCUACUCAACAAAAGGGAUGAUCAAGAAUAAGGACCUUGCUUAUGAGCAGAUUAAAGCUGGAUUAGCUAGUACAACAACUGCAGUCAUUCAAAUGGCCAUCCACACUUCAAUGGAAUUGAAGGAGACGGCAUGCCACCUUGCUUCAACACCACUAUUCCACCGACAUUGGUUUACCUACCCAUCGUAGGUCAAAGGUGGCAGCUCUGUGUUCCCUAGUAUGUGUUCUUAUGACUCCAACCACCCCAUGCAUUUGCUUUAUCUCCUUCAUUUACUACUAAGAUGUAGGGUACCUUAUCAUAGCUUUGAUCCCCCUCAAGCAUCACAUGACUCU